CGUCAGCUCGUGUCGUGAGAUGUUGGGUUAAGUCCCGCAACGAGCGCAACCCUCGUCCCUAUGUUCGCCAUCACUAGGUGGGCACUCUUAGGGAGACUGCCGGUGUAAACUACGGAGGAAGGUGGGAUGACGUCAAGUCAUCAUGCCCUUUAUGUCUUGGGCUGCACACGUGCUACAAUGGUCGGUACAAAGAGGUGCGAUACCGUGAGGUGGAGCGAAUCUCACAAAGCCGAUCUAAGUCCGGAUUGAAGGCUGCAACUCGCCUUCAUGAAGUCGGAGUCGCUAGUAAUCGUGGAUCAGAAUGCCACGGUGAAUACGUUCCCGGGCCUU
Molecule: ribosomal RNA, 330 nt
Filed under: uncultured Actinomycetes bacterium
Lineage: Bacteria; Bacillati; Actinomycetota; Actinomycetes
Description: bacterial SSU rRNA
Rfam family: Bacterial small subunit ribosomal RNA
Source: RNAcentral